RNAcentral lists this ribosomal RNA (253 nucleotides) under uncultured bacterium. Its description in RNAcentral is "partial 16S ribosomal RNA". It matches the Rfam family "Bacterial small subunit ribosomal RNA", at positions 524 to 776 of the family's 1533-position model. The record is from RNAcentral.
UACGGGGGGGGUAAGCGUUGUUCGGAAUUACUGGGCGUAAAGGGCUCGUAGGCGGCCAACUAAGUCAGACGUGAAAUCCCUCAGCUUAACUGGGGAACUGCGUCUGAUACUGGAUGGCUUGGAUUCGGGAGAGGAAUGCGGAAUUCCAGGUGUAGCAGUGAAAUGCGUAGAUAUCUGGAGGAACACCGGUGGCGAAGGCGGCAUUCUGGACCGACAUUGACGCUGAGGAGCGAAAGCCAGGGGAGCAAACGGG